GCUGCUCUUCGCCAGGCCGAGCUAUGUCCCAAUUCUUCCUCAGCCUCUGCUCCUCCACCCUAUAAUCUUUUCAUCACCUCCCCUCCUCACACCUGGUCCAGCUUACAGUUUCAUUCCAUGACUAGCCCUCCCCCACCUGCCCAGCAAUUUACUCUUAAAAAGGUGGCUGGAGCUAAAGGCAUAGUCAAGGUUAAUGCUCCUUUUUCUUUAUCCCAAAUCACAUAGCGUUUAGGCUCUUUUUCAUCAAAUAUAAAAAUCCAGCCCAGUUCAUGGCUCGUUUGGCAACAACCCUGAGACGCUUUACAGCCCUAGACCCUAAAAGGUCAAAAGGCCGUCUUAUUCUCAAUAUACAUUUUAUUACCCAAUCUGCUCCCGACAUUAAAUAAAACUCCAAAAACUGGAAUCUGGCCCUCAAACCCCACAACAGGACUUAAUUAACCUCACCUUCAAGGUGUACAAUAACAGAAAAAAGUUGCAAUUCCUUGCCUCCACUGUGAGACAAACCCCAGCCACAUCUCCAGCACACAAGAACUUCCAAACUCCUGAACCGCAGCAGCCAGGCAUUCGUCCAGAACCCCCUCCCCCAGGAGCUUGCUACACAUGCCAGAAAUCUGGCCACUGGGCCAAGGAAUGCCCGCAGCCCGGGAUUCCUCCUAAGCCGCAUCCCAUCUGUGUGGGACCCCACUGAAAAUCGGACUGUUCAACUCACCUGGCAGCCACUCCCAGAACCCCUGGAACUCUGGCCCAAGGCUCUCUGACUGCUUCCCAGAUCUUCUUGGCUUAGCGGCUGAAGACUGACACUGCCCGAUCACCUCGGAAACCCCCUAGACCAUCACAGACGCCGAGCUUCAGGUAACUCUCACAGUGGAAGGUAAGCCCGUCCCCUUCUUAAUCAAUAUGGAGGCUACCCACUCCACAUUACCUUCUUUUCAAGGACCUGUUUCCCUUGCCUCCAUAACUGUCGUGGGUAUUGACGGCCAGGCUUCUAAACCUCUUAAAACUCCCCAACUCUGGUGCCAACUUAGAAAAUACUCUUUUAAGCACUCCUUUUUAGUUAUCCCCACCUGCCCAGUUCCCUUAUUAGGCUGAGACACUUUAACUAAAUUAUCUGCUUCCCUGACUAUUCCUGGACUACAGCUAUAUCUCAUUGCCGCCCUUCUUCCCAAUCCAAAGCCUCCUUUGUGUCCUCCUCUUGUAUCCCCCCACCUUAACCCACAAGUAUAAGAUACCUCUACUCCCUCCUUGGUGACCGAUCAUGCACCCUUUACCAUCUCAUUAAAACCUAAUCACCCUUACCCCACUCAAAGCCAAUAUCCCAUCCCGCAGCACGCUUUAAAAAGAUUAAAGCUUGUUAUCACUCACCUGCUACAGCAUGGCCUUUUAAAGCCUAUAAACUCUCCGCACAAUUCCCCCAUGUUACCUGUCCUAAAACCAGACAAGCCUUACAAGUUAGUUCAGGAUCUCCAUCUUAUCAACCAAAUUGUUUUGCCUAUCCACCCUGUGGUGCCCAACCCGUACACUCUUUUGUCCUCAAUACCUUCCUCCACAACUCACUAUUCCAUGCUUGAUCUUAAAGAUGCUUUUUUCACUAUUCCCCUGCACCCCUCAUCCCAGCCUCUCUUCUUUCACUUAGACUGACCCUGACACCCAUUAGGCUCAGCAAAUUUCCUAGGCUGUACUGCCGCAAGGCUUCACAGGCAGCCCCCAUUACUUCAGUCAAGCCCAAAUUUCAUCCUCAUCUGUUACCUAUCUCGGCAUAAUUCUCAUAAAAACAUACGUGCUUUCCCUGCUGAUCGUGUCCGAUUAAUCUCCCAAACCUCAAUCCCUUACAAAACAACAACUCCUUUCCUUCCUAGGCAUAGUGUGGUCAGAAUUCUUACACAAGAGCCAGGACCACACCCUGUAGCCUUUCUGUGCAAAGAACUUGACCUUACUGUUUUAGCCUAGCCCUCAUGUCUGCGUGCAGCGGCUGCCGCUGCUUUAAUACUUUUAGAGGCCCUCAAAAUCACAGACUAUGCUCAACUCACUCUCUACACUUCUCAUAACUUCCAAAAUCUAUUUUCUUCCUCAUACCUGAUGCAUAUACUUUCUGCUCCCUGGCUCCUUCAGCUGUACUCACUCUUUAAGUCCCACAAUUACCAUUGUUCCUGGCCUGGACUUCAGUCUGGCCUUGCACAUUAUUCCUGAUACCACACCUGACCCCCAUGACUGUAUCUUUCUGAUCCACCUGAUAUUCACCCCAUUUCCCCAUAUUUCCUUCUUCUUUCCUGUUCCUCACCCUGAUCAUGCUUGAUUUAUUGAUAGCGGUUCCACCAGGCCUAAUCGCCACACACCAGCAAAGGCAGGUUAUACUAUAGUACAAGCCACUAGCCCCCCGCCUCUUAGAACCUCUCAUUUCCUUUCCAUCGUGGAAGUCUAUCCUCAAGGAAAUAACUUCUCAGUGUUCCAUCUGCUAUUCUACUACUCCUCAGGGAUUAUUCAGGCCCCCUCCCUUCCCUACACAUCAAGCUCCAGGAUUUGCCCCACCCAGGACUGGCAAAUUAGCUUUACUCAACAUGCCCAAGUCAGGAAACUAAAAUACCUCUUAGUCUAGGUAGACAUUUUCACUGGAUAGGUAGAGGCCUUUCCUACAGGGUCUGAGAAGGCCACCGCAGUCAUUUCUUCCGUUCUGUCAGACAUAAUUCCUCAGUUUAGCCUUCCCACCUCAAUACAGUCUGAUAACAGAUAAGCCUUUAUUAGUCAAAUCAGCCAAGCAGUUUUUCAGGCUCUUAGUAUUCAGUGAAACCUUUAUAUCCCUUACGGUCCUCCGUCUUCAAGAAAAGUAGAAUGGACUAAAGGCCUUUUAAAAACACACCUCACCAAGCUCAGCCACCAAAAAGGACUGGACAAUACUUUUACCACUUUCCCUUCUCAGAAUUCAGGCCUGUCCUCGGAAUGCUACAGGGUACAGCCCAUUUAAGCCCCUGUAUAGACGCUCCUUUUUAUUAGGCCCCAGUCUCAUUCCAGACACCAGACCAACUUAGACAGUGCCCCAAAAAACUUGUCAUCCCUACUAUCUUCUGUCUAGUCAUACUCCUAUUCACCGUUCUCAACUACUCAUACAUGCCCUGCUCUUGUUUACACUGCCAGUUUACACUGUUUUUCCAAGCCAUCACAGCUGAUAUCUCCCGGUGCUAUCGCCAAACUGCCACUCUUAACUCUUGAACUAAAUAAAUAAUCUUUGCUGGCAGGACUAUGCUGAAUCUCCUUAGGCACUCUCUAAUCAGAUGCCCUAGGUCCUCCCAAUUCUUAGACCUUUUAUACCUGUCUUUCUCCUUCUGUUAUUCCAUUUAGUUUCUCAAUUCAUCCAAAACCGUAUCCAGGCCAUCACCAAUCAUUCUAUACGACAAAUGUUUCUUCUAACAUCCCCACAGUAUCACCACUUACCUCAAGGCCUCCCUUCAGCUUAAUCUCUCCCACUCUAGGUUCCCACGCCGCCCCUAACCCCACUCGAAGCAGCCCUGAGAAACAUCGCCCAUUCUCUCUCCAUACCACCCCCCAAAAAUUUUCGCUGCCCCAACACUUCAACACUAUUUUGUUUUAUUUUUCUUAUUAAUAUAAGAAGGCAGGAAUGUCGGACCUCUGAGCCCAAGCCAAGCCAUCGCAUCCCCUGUGACUUGCACAUAUACGCCCAGAUGGCCUGAAGUAACUGAAGAAUCACAAAAGAAGUGAAUAUGCCUUGCCCCACCUUAACUAAUGACAUUCCACCACAAAAGAAGUGUAAAUGGCCGGUCCUUGCCUUAAGUGAUAACAUUACCUUGUGAAAGUCCUUUUCCUGGCUUAUCCUGGCUCAAAAAGCACCCCCACUGAGCACCUUGCGACCCCCCCACUCCUGCCCACCAGAGAACAACCCUCCUUUGACUGUAAUUUUCCUUUACCUACCCACAUCCUAUAAAACAGCCCCACCCCUAUCUCCGUUCGCUGACUCUCUUUUCGGACUCAGCCCGCCUGCACCCAGGUGAAAUAAACAGCCAUGUUGCUCACACAAAGCCUGUUUGGUGGUCUCUUCACACGGACACGCAUGAAACUCUGUUCCUCAAUUCAUUCAUUCUCCCUAGUAAUCAUUUAUUGCCCCCCACCAACAGAAUUUUUCUCCCAUUCCCAUAACCUGCUUUGCCAGAAUCCAAGCCCCCAUUCUUUCAGUAACCUCAAGAUGGUAUAUAAAUUUCUGCACCCCAUUGGGAGUGGAUCUUCAUUUUGAAGGCUCCCAUGUACAUGUUAAAUACAUUUGUAUGUCUUUUCUCCUACUAAUCUGCCUCUUGUCAGUUAUUUUCAGAGAACUUUCAGAGGGUAAAGAAGUUUUCCCUUGGCCCCAACAUUGUUCAGUUACUGAAUACUGAUUAACCAUUCAUUAUAAUUUUUUUAAAAAGACCUUUGUGAAAGAAUAGAAAUAUCCUAAAUACUCACAGUUUGUUUAUUGUGUUGCCAGUGGAGGGUCUUGACUACGAGUUGUCCAGGUCCUUCGCAUUUUAAACAAAUAAUUGAACAAAACGCACUAAGUAGCAGAGGCAUGAAAUGCGGGGAUGAAGCAGCGAAAGCAGGAAUUUAUGAAAUCGAGAAAGCACUCCGCAGGGUGGCAGUGGGCCCGAGCAAGUGGCUUAAGAGCCCAGUUACAAACUUUUCCAGGCUUUAAGUACCCCCUUUGAGGUUCUUAUCGGCUACCCCUUAUCUGGAUGAAAGAUUUGGUCUGUGGCUAAAGGCUGAGGUGAAUUGGUGCCCUAUGCAGAUAAAGGGAUGGUCUCUGGUUGGCCUGCGGCCAGUCUAAGGCACUCUCCUUUCCCAUCUGAGAUGUGGUGGAAGGGGAAGGAUUUUAGGGAGAGUAGCCUUUGAUCCCUUGUUACUAGGCAUGGGGAAAUUGGGUUUUUCUAUUUUGGUUUAGCUUUAAGAAGUUUGUGUUAAUUGGCCUUAGAUUGCCUGCCCCCAGACCCAGGUGUUUUCCUUUUGAUCCAGCUUUGGGAAGUCAGUGCAAAUUGGCCUUAGAUUUCCUGCCCCCAGACCUUGGUGUUAUUUCUUUUAGGAAGUUAGCACAAAUUGGCCUUAAGUUCCCUGUCUCCAGACCCUAUUCUCCUGCCUCAAUUGUACACGUUGAGAUAGACUUCUGAUAUUUUUGUGGCCUAUUUCUCACUGGAGCACACACUUUUAACUUGGUUGCUGUAAACCAAAACUAAAAUUCUAAGCCCCUCAACCAUCUGAAUUGACCUCUCCUCUUGGCCAAGGGAAUUCCAAAGUUAACCUGAAAAACUAGAUCAGGCCAUGAUGGGAAGCUGGGGUUGGAUAUGCCACAUUAUUCCCUCCUCCCUUUUGGAAUUCAGGCACAGCUGACCAGCGUUAACAUUAAAACAGAUCUUAAGACUGACAAAGCAGACUCUUUAUAGCAAUGAGACACCAAAUUCCAGCCUGACUCUAGUAUAGCAUCACAUGAAAGAUACGAGACCCUGAAAUAAGUCAAAGUAUUUUACCCCAAAUAUGUUUCUUUGUCAUAUCUUGAAAUAGUCCUGCAAAGCCAUCUCUUGAGGGGAAAAUAUACAUUCUGAAGAGAAUCAUCUGUCUUUUCCAGGACUUUUUCCUUGUCCAGGAGAGAAUCAACUCUGAUAAGAAACAUUUACAAUCUAUUUUCUCUGAAGCUUGCUACCUGGAGGCUUCCCCUAUGUAACAGGAACCUUGGUCUCCACAACCCGUUAUCUCAAUCCAGACAUCCCCUUCUAUUGAUUCUGGGUUUUUAGACAAUAACUUACCUCUUUCAACCAAUUGCCAAUCAGAAAAUCUUUGAAUCUACUCAUGACCUGGAAGUCCCCCAUUGCUCUGAGUUGUCCCACCUUUCUGUACUGAACUGUUGCAGGAAAAGGGUCCUGAUACAGAUUUCAAGAGAUGGCUCUUGGAUCUUGCACAAGAAAGAAUCUGGGGCAAGUCCACAGAGUAAAAUGAAAGCAAGUUUAUUAAGAAAGUAAAGGAAUGGAAGAACAGCUACUCCACAGACAGAGCAGGGCAUUCUCAAAAGCAAGAGGAGGAACACGCUCACCUUAGCCUUCUUUAGUGGAGUUGAGGCAUUCCACAUGUUCCAUCAUAGCUGAUCCAGAUACAGAAACUACAAAGAAAUACAGUGCAUAUGAAGCAACCCAAGGUCAGGUAAUAUUUCCAAGUAACAAUUUCCUGGACUGUAUUUCAACUCCCAUCUUUUUCUUGCCCUUGUUUUAAGAGCCAAGGAUUUGAGACAGAACACUGAAGAUUGAUUCACAAAGGCAGCACAAUUUGUUUAAAAUUGUGAGAUAUGUAAUUUACGUGAACCUGAUAUUUUAAUAAAAAUAUGAAAAAUAUAAAA
Molecule: long non-coding RNA, 6358 nt
Organism: Homo sapiens (human)
Lineage: Eukaryota; Metazoa; Chordata; Mammalia; Primates; Hominidae
Exons: 2
Source: RefSeq, a predicted model, not a curated record